RNAcentral lists this ribosomal RNA (252 nucleotides) under uncultured bacterium. RNAcentral's name for it is "partial 16S ribosomal RNA". It matches the Rfam family "Bacterial small subunit ribosomal RNA", at positions 524 to 776 of the family's 1533-position model. The record is from RNAcentral.
UACGGAGGAUGCGAGCGUUAUCCGGAUUUAUUGGGUUUAAAGGGUGCGUAGGCGGGUUAUCAAGUCAGCGGUAAAAUCGUGGAGCUCAACUCCAUUCAGCCGUUGAAACUGAUGAUCUUGAGUGGGCGAGAAGUAUGCGGAAUGCGUGGUGUAGCGGUGAAAUGCAUAGAUAUCACGCAGAACUCCGAUUGCGAAGGCAGCAUACCGGCGCCCGACUGACGCUGAAGCACGAAAGCGUGGGUAUCGAACAGG